RNAcentral lists this ribosomal RNA (253 nucleotides) under uncultured bacterium. Its description in RNAcentral is "partial 16S ribosomal RNA". It matches the Rfam family "Bacterial small subunit ribosomal RNA", at positions 524 to 776 of the family's 1533-position model. The record is from RNAcentral.
UACGGGGGGGGCAAGCGUUGUUCGGAAUUACUGGGCGUAAAGGGCUCGUAGGCGGCCAACUAAGUCAGACGUGAAAUCCCUCGGCUUAACCGGGGAACUGCAUCUGAUACUGGAUGGCUUGAGUUCGGGAGAGGGAUGCAGAAUUCCAGGUGUAGCGGUGAAAUGCGUAGAUAUCGUAAGGAAGACCAGUGGCGAAGGCGGGUCUCUGGACAGUUCCUGACGCUGAGGCACGAAGGCCAGGGGAGCAAACGGG